GGGGUGAGGCGAAGCUGACGGACACGCCGCGUGAGUGAUGAAGGUUUUCGGAUCGUAAAGCUCUGUUGCCAGGGAAGAACGUCCGGUAGAGUAACUGCUAUCGGAGUGACGGUACCUGAGAAGAAAGCCCCGGCUAACUACGUGCCAGCAGCCGCGGUAAUACGUAGGGGGCAAGCGUUGUCCGGAAUUAUUGGGCGUAAAGCGCGCGCAGGCGGCCAUUUAAGUCUGGUGUUUAAACCUUGGGCUCAACCUGAGGUCGCACUGGAAACUGGGUGGCUUGAGUACAGAAGAGGAAAGUGGAAUUCCACGUGUAGCGGUGAAAUGCGUAGAUAUGUGGAGGAACACCAGUGGCGAAGGCGACUUUCUGGGCUGUAACUGACGCUGAGGCGCGAAAGCGUGGGGAGCAAACAGGAUUAGAUACCCUGGUAGUCCACGCCGUAAACGAUGAGUGCUAGGUGUUAGGGGUUUCGAUACCCUUGGUGCCGAAGUUAACACAGUAAGCACUCCGCCUGGGGAGUACGGUCGCAAGACUGAAACUCAAG
This 542-nucleotide ribosomal RNA is filed under the name uncultured Bacilli bacterium. RNAcentral describes it as "bacterial SSU rRNA". It matches the Rfam family "Bacterial small subunit ribosomal RNA", at positions 359 to 905 of the family's 1533-position model. The record is from RNAcentral. Lineage: Bacteria; Bacillati; Bacillota; Bacilli.